UGGGGAAUAUUGGACAAUGGGCGCAAGCCUGAUCCAGCCAUGCCGCGUGAGUGAUGAAGGCCCUAGGGUUGUAAAGCUCUUUUGUGCGGGAAGAUAAUGACUGUACCGCAAGAAUAAGCCCCGGCUAACUUCGUGCCAGCAGCCGCGGUAAUACGAAGGGGGCUAGCGUUGCUCGGAAUCACUGGGCGUAAAGGGUGCGUAGGCGGGUCUUUAAGUCAGGGGUGAAAUCCUGGAGCUCAACUCCAGAACUGCCUUUGAUACUGAAGAUCUUGAGUUCGGGAGAGGUGAGUGGAACUGCGAGUGUAGAGGUGAAAUUCGUAGAUAUUCGCAAGAACACCCGUGGCGAAGGCGGCUCACUGGCCCGAUACUGACGCUGAGGCACGAAAGCGUGGGGAGCAAACA
This 402-nucleotide ribosomal RNA is filed under the name uncultured bacterium. Its description in RNAcentral is "bacterial SSU rRNA". It matches the Rfam family "Bacterial small subunit ribosomal RNA", at positions 355 to 774 of the family's 1533-position model. The record is from RNAcentral.